Long non-coding RNA from Anser brachyrhynchus (Pink-footed goose), 894 nucleotides. Lineage: Eukaryota; Metazoa; Chordata; Aves; Anseriformes; Anatidae. The record is from Ensembl.
CCAUUUCUUGCCACUCCCCUCGCUAAAACUGGGGCAAACCUUCUGACAGUUCCCACUGCUGCAGACAGUCCCCUCUCUCAUAGUUAACUGCUUCGCUGCUGGCCCAGCAGCCGCAGCUGCCCCGCGUUGCCACAUCACACUGAUGCGUCCUUGAAGCUGAGGAAAUGUCAGCAGGACAUACCUGUAACUCACUAGCAGGAUUCUGUUUUCAAGAUAGUUUAUUUCCUAACCAGUUUACAGAGUUUCUGAGCUCACCAAGACCCUAUUGUGAGUGGCGCUAGACAGCAAUGCAACACUGGCUGUACUUAUUCAAAAGGAUUAAGCCUAAGCCUGUUGCUGAGUACUCAGAGGUGCCAGAGGCUAGGUUUGGGUAGACAACGGAAAGCAGCAGUCUCUUUGUCCAACCUACCCAGUGGGAGAGACCUCAGCUGUCCAGAAUGGAAGCUGCAGGUCAGUACAUCUGCUUGUCUUCUGUACUUAGAAAUACAGUUAAAGGAAACAAAACUCCGUGACUUCACCUUUGGAUUAGUACUGAAAUUUUGCCUGUGUGUUAUUCCCCUAAUUACAAUUCCCAAAUUGUGGAGUGCAAUGAGAAAAAUAAGUUAUGCUGCUAACUACAAGUGUGAAAUGGAAAUGUAGCUACAAGAAAUUGAAUUAUUUCCAGAAAGAAUAAUUUUCCAAAGCUAUUGUUCAUUUAACAAAUACAAGAAAAAUGUGACAGUCAAUGAAAGGGAAAAUUACUGCUGAUCUUUUUUUUUUUUUUUUUUUUUUAUUUCCAUUGAUUAGGUAAUGUUUUAUACCACUUUGCUGACCUGACCUAGAGCACACCCAUAUAAAGAGUUGCAUUGGCACAACUGAGCAGAAAAUAAAUUGGGGAUGAGGUUGAGAGAGUCA